UUAGGUCCCGCCCCGCCCCCGCCCCGAACUUCAGCCCUGCUCUCCCCGCGCUCCUCAGCCGGGUCAACGUCCCGCCCCGGCCUCAAGCUCCAGCCACGCCCUUUCCACGGCGGCCCCACAGCGCCCCGGGUGCGGGCUCUCCUCACCUCCGUCGGGCCAACACGCCCAAAACGCUCACCCCGUCCUCAGCUCGGUCGGGCCCAAGGCCCCGCCCCUCCCGCUCCGUUCCCCUCAGCCCAGCCCCAGGCCCCGCCCACCUACUCCUGCGCUAAGUUCUCGCGUGGCCUUUGCCCUCACCCCGAGGGUCGGCUCCCUCGAGCGUCGUCCCUCCACACCUCAGUAUCUCCAGGCCGUUUCUAGUAGCCGCGUCCCUCUGGGGGCCGCCCUUCCCUACACCCCCGCUCACCGGCACGGCCCCCCCUUUUCUCUCUAAAGUCUCGAGUCUGAGGGCCCGUUCACUCCUUCUGCCUUCAACCCUGUCCUGGGCGGGGCUCAGCCUGCGACACGGCCCCGCCCACGCCGGCGGCCCCGCCCACUCCGCCUCACCUGCGCUGGAGCUCCGGCCAACGCCCGCCAGGCGCAGGGCUGUGUGACAACCCCCAUACACCACCGUCCUCACCUCCUCUCCAAGUCAGAUGCAUCUGUCUCAGAGCCCUUGCGCACUGCACUGGGGCUGAGAGCAGCGACCCUACCUGGUAAAGUUGGAGGUCACUGUGCCGUCUAAAUCACGAGGAGACCUGGAUCCCAUUACCUCCCCAAAAUCCUUCGCUCAGUGAGACUGGGUUGGCUGCUUUUCCCAACUUCAUCCUGCUCCUUCUCCUUCUCCUUUUCCUUUCUGUCUUCCUGCCUCCCCCGUCCUCCAUGUGUUCAGCAAUCUCUGAAAUGAAUCCCCAAAUGCCCCUGUCCCCUCCCCAGAUCCUCCACCUUCCUCUCUCUGUGUGCCCAAAGCACUGACUCUGCCCUUUCCUGAGGGCACUGCUCCCAUGUCAUUCACGUUCUAGUAACCUCCGAGCAGGGCUCUGAGUGCCCCAGACCUCCUUCGUGUCUGUAUCUGGCAACAGCAAUGGUUUGCUAAGUGAAUGCGCGUGAUUAAUAAAUUGAGCAGUGUUCAUUGGAAAACA
Neofelis nebulosa (Clouded leopard) is the source of this 1121-nucleotide long non-coding RNA. RefSeq lists it as uncharacterized. The record is from RefSeq and is a predicted model, not a curated record. Lineage: Eukaryota; Metazoa; Chordata; Mammalia; Carnivora; Felidae. The transcript is spliced from 3 exons.